Molecule: ribosomal RNA, 496 nt
Filed under: uncultured bacterium
Lineage: Bacteria
Description: partial 16S ribosomal RNA
Rfam family: Bacterial small subunit ribosomal RNA
Source: RNAcentral
GAUGAACGCUGGCGGCGUGCCUAAUACAUGCAAGUCGAGCGAACAGACGAGGAGCUUGCUCCUCUGACGUUAGCGGCGGACGGGUGAGUAACACGUGGAUAACCUACCUAUAAGACUGGGAUAACUUCGGGAAACCGGAGCUAAUACCGCAUAAUAUAUUGAACCGCAUGGUUCAAUAGUGAAAGACGGUUUUGCUGUCACUUAUAGAUGGAUCCGCGCCGCAUUAGCUAGUUGGUAAGGUAACGGCUUACCAAGGCAACGAUGCGUAGCCGACCUGAGAGGGUGAUCGGCCACACUGGAACUGAGACACGGUCCAGACUCCUACGGGAGGCAGCAGUAGGGAAUCUUCCGCAAUGGGCGAAAGCUUGACGGAGCAACGCCGCGUGAGUGAUGAAGGUCUUCGGAUCGUAAAACUCUGUUAUUAGGGAAGAACAAAUGUGUAAGUAACUAUGCACGUCUUGACGGUACCUAAGCAGAAAGCCACGGCUAACUACGU